Molecule: ribosomal RNA, 420 nt
Filed under: uncultured eukaryote
Lineage: Eukaryota
Description: SSU rRNA
Rfam family: Eukaryotic small subunit ribosomal RNA
Source: RNAcentral
CAAGAGCGUAUAUUAAAGUUGUUGCAGUUAAAAAGCUCGUAGUUGGAUUUCUGGUACAACGCGCCUGGCCCGCAUUUGUGAGUGCCGGCGCGCGUUUGCCAUCCUUCUAGAAAACGUUUCUACCUGGGCAACUGGGCCGGACUCGCGAUCUAGAUCUUUUACUUUGAAAAAUUAGAGUGUUUAAAGCAGGCUUUUGCUGUGAAUACAUUAGCAUGGAAUAAUAAUCUAGGACUUCGGUUCUAUUUUGUUGGUUUCUAGUACUGAAGUAAUGAUUGAUAGGGAUAGUUGGGGGUGCUAGUAUUGGCCGGCCAGAGGUGAAAUUCUCCGAUUUGUUAAAGACUAACUUAUGCGAAAGCAUUUGCCAAGGAUGUUUUCAUUAAUCAAGAACGAAAGUUAGGGGAUCAAAGACGAUCAGAUACC